GGUGAACGCUGGCGGCGUGCCUAAGACAUGCAAGUCGAGCGGGGCAGGUUUAUACCUGUUCAGCGGCGGACGGGUGAGUAACGCGUGGGUGACCUACCCGGAAGAGGCGGACAACCUGGGGAAACCCAGGCUAAUCCGCUAUGGGGUCCGGCCUGGGGGGGAAGGACUAAGGGGUGGAGAGCCCGCUUCCGGAGGGGCCCGCGUCCCGUCAGCUAGUUGGGGGGGUAAAGGCCCACAAAGGCGACGACUGGUAGCCGGUCUGAGAGGAUGGCCGGCCACAGGGGCACUGAGCCCCGGGCCCCACUCCUACUGGAGGCAGCUGGUCGGAAUCUUCCGCAAUGGACGGAAGUCUGACGGAGCGACGCCGCUUGGAGGGGGUAGCCCUUCGGGGUGUAAACUCCUGAACUGGGGACGAAAGCCCUGUGUAGGGGGAUGACGGUACCCAGGUAAUAGCGCCGGCCAACUCCGUG
RNAcentral lists this ribosomal RNA (470 nucleotides) under uncultured bacterium. RNAcentral's name for it is "partial 16S ribosomal RNA". It matches the Rfam family "Bacterial small subunit ribosomal RNA", at positions 28 to 507 of the family's 1533-position model. The record is from RNAcentral.